AUGGUUCUCGGUGAUCUCAAUGAAAUAAUGUAUCCCUUUGAGAAAGAGGGAGGCAACGUCAGACCAGAGAGGUAUAUGCAAGCUUUUAGAGAUGCGGUGCAGGAUUGUAACCUUACAGAUUUUGGGUAUGUUGGAGAUCGCUAUACUUGGCAGAGAGGAAACAUUCGUGAACGGCUUGAUCGUGCACUUACUAAUGAGAUGUGGAAUGACAAAUUUAACAAUGCUGUGUUGGAGAAUUUGGAGUAUAGCAGAUCGGAUCAUAGACCUCUCUUGAUGCACUGUGAUACAACCAGCGAGGAGAGGUUUGGCCCAUCUGUUCUGCGGUUUGAUGCACGGUGGCUAAAAGAAAAAAACUUUCAUGAUGUAGUACAAGCUGCAUGGGGACCGACACACAGCUUUCUGAUGGUAGCCUCGCUGAUAAGCUGGCGUUGGUGCAUAAAAGGCUACACAUGUGGGACAGCUCGGUUUUGA
This 471-nucleotide ribosomal RNA is filed under the name Triticum aestivum (bread wheat). RNAcentral's name for it is "partial small subunit ribosomal RNA". Lineage: Eukaryota; Viridiplantae; Streptophyta; Magnoliopsida; Poales; Poaceae. The record is from RNAcentral.